Molecule: ribosomal RNA, 446 nt
Filed under: uncultured bacterium
Lineage: Bacteria
Description: partial 16S ribosomal RNA
Rfam family: Bacterial small subunit ribosomal RNA
Source: RNAcentral
CCUACGGGAGGCUGCAGUCGAGAAUCAUUCACAAUGGGGGAAACCCUGAUGGUGCGACGCCGCGUGGGGGAAUGAAGGUCUUCGGAUUGUAAACCCCUGUCAUGUGGGAGCAAAUUAAAACGAUCGUACCACAAGAGGAAGAGACGGCUAACUCUGUGCCAGCAGCCGCGGUAAUACAGAGGUCUCAAGCGUUGUUCGGAAUCACUGGGCGUAAAGCGUGCGUAGGCUGUUUCGUAAGUCGUGUGUGAAAGGCGCGGGCUCAACCCGCGGACGGCACAUGAUACUGCGAGACUAGAGUAAGGGAGGGGGAACCGGAAUUCUCGGUGUAGCAGUGAAAUGCGUAGAUAUCGAGAGGAACACUCGUGGCGAAGGCGGGUUCCUGGACAUUAACUGACGCUGAGGCACGAAGGCCAGGGGAGCGAAAGGGAUUAGAUACCCCAGUAGUC